RNAcentral lists this ribosomal RNA (340 nucleotides) under Shigella flexneri 2a. RNAcentral describes it as "partial 23S ribosomal RNA". It matches the Rfam family "Bacterial large subunit ribosomal RNA", at positions 1202 to 1551 of the family's 2925-position model. The record is from RNAcentral. Lineage: Bacteria; Pseudomonadati; Pseudomonadota; Gammaproteobacteria; Enterobacterales; Enterobacteriaceae.
GUGGACUCGCAAUGCGAGUGGUAGAGGAGCAUUCUUAAAACCGACGAAGCUGUACCGAAAGGAGCAGUGGAGGGAUAAGAAGAGAGAAUGCCGGAAUGAGUAGCGAGAGAAAGGUGGGAAUCCUUUCGGCCGAAUAUCUAAGGUUUCCAGAGUAAAGCUGAUCUGCUCUGGGUAAGUCGGGGCCUAAGCACAGGUCGCAAGACGUAAGCGAUGGAUAACAGGUUUAGAUUCCUGUACCACGCAUUAUCAGAACUGUAGGGACGCAUGUGGAAAGCACGGGCCGGGAAUGGAAAGACCGGUACAAGCGGGGUAGGUGUACAAUAGGCAAAUCCGUUGUAUA